Molecule: unclassified non-coding RNA, 253 nt
Filed under: uncultured fungus
Lineage: Eukaryota; Fungi
Description: partial contains 5.8S ribosomal RNA, internal transcribed spacer 2, and large subunit ribosomal RNA
Rfam family: 5.8S ribosomal RNA (bases 1-52)
Source: RNAcentral
AACGCACAUUGCGCCCCUUGGUAUUCCGAGGGGCAUGCCUGUUCGAGCGUCAUUUCACCAAUCAAGCCUGGCUUGGUGUUGGGCGCCCGGCCCGCCCCCCGCGGCGGGCCCGCCCGAAAUGCAUCGGCGAGGAAACCGACCCCCGGCGUGUUAAGAAUCUCACAAUUCGAACGUCAGGAGCACCGGUGGCCUCCGCCGCGACCUAUCAUCAAAGGUUGACCUCGGAUCAGGUAGGGAUACCCGCUGAACUUAA